AAAGACCCUAUGAAGCUUUACUGUAACUUGAAAUUGAAAUUGGACUUUAUUCGCGCAGUAUAGGUGGGAGGCGUUGAUUAUAAUCUUGUGGGAUUAUUGGAGCCAUCAGUGAGAUACCACUCUUGUAAUGUUAGAUUUCUAACUUUGAAUCAUGAUCUGGUCAAAGAACAGUUUCAGGCGGGCAGUUUGACUGGGGCGGUCGCCUCCUAAACGGUAACGGAGGCGUACAAAGGUUUCCUCUGAACGGGUAGAAAUCGUAUCUAGAGUGUAAAGGCAUAAGGAAGCUUGACUGUGAGACCUACAAGUCGAGCAGGGACGAAAGUCGGUCUUAGUGAUCUGACGGUACUGAGUGGAAAGGCCGUCACUCAACGGAUAAAAGUUACUCUAGGGAUAACAGGCUGA
This 402-nucleotide ribosomal RNA is filed under the name Stephanocyclus meneghinianus. RNAcentral's name for it is "Cyclotella meneghiniana partial large subunit ribosomal RNA". It matches the Rfam family "Bacterial large subunit ribosomal RNA", at positions 2084 to 2485 of the family's 2925-position model. The record is from RNAcentral. Lineage: Eukaryota; Bacillariophyta; Thalassiosirophyceae; Thalassiosirales; Thalassiosiraceae.